GGGGGUAUAGCUCAACGGUAGAGCAGUAGCCUUUUAAGCUAUUGAUGGGGGUUCGAUUCCCUCUACCCUCACCA
RNAcentral lists this transfer RNA (74 nucleotides) under Candidatus Portnoyibacteriota bacterium. RNAcentral describes it as "tRNA-Lys". It matches the Rfam family "tRNA". From Rfam's summary of the family: Transfer RNA (tRNA) molecules are approximately 80 nucleotides in length. Their secondary structure includes four short double-helical elements and three loops (D, anti-codon, and T loops). The record is from RNAcentral. Lineage: Bacteria; Candidatus Portnoyibacteriota.